AAAACACUUUGAGAGAAAAGUUUUACAACACACAAAAUAUCCAUUGGCUAAAUACUUUUUGUGUGAGAUACUAUAGUGAUUGAGUCAAAGUCUUGAUAUUCUUUAAUACUUUGAAAAAGACAAUUUUCUGUAAAUUGAAAGGUUUGGAAAUCCAGUAAGGAAACUGGUAGUUAUCUUUGUUGAUGUGAGAUCAUCAAGAAAAGGCUUUACCUAGAUCUUGUGUGAGUUAGGCGAUUAACUACAAGGAUUAGGUGGUAUAGAAACAAGAGUGAAGUGAGUUAGAUAGAUAGGCUUCAAGGAAGCUGGACAAUCUGUAAAAGGUCCUCAAUUCAUUCUAUUGGAAAAAGGCUGAAAUCUUGUUGGAUUUCAGGACUGGAUGUAGGCUAUCAAAUUGAUAGCUGAACCAGUAUAAAUCGUGGUGCAAUUGUUUCUUAUCCCUACUCUUUUUGAUAUUACAUAAAUG
RNAcentral lists this long non-coding RNA (463 nucleotides) under Cicer arietinum (chickpea). Its description in RNAcentral is "long non-coding RNA (CARI_LNC001037)". The record is from RNAcentral. Lineage: Eukaryota; Viridiplantae; Streptophyta; Magnoliopsida; Fabales; Fabaceae.